AACGAACGCUGGCGGCAUGCCUAACACAUGCAAGUCGAACGAGACCUUCGGGUCUAGUGGCGCACGGGGGGGUAACGCGUGGGAACCUGCCCUUAGGUUCGGAAUAACUCCCCGAAAGGGGUGCUAAUACCGGAUAAUGUCUUCGGAGCAAAGAUUUAUCGCCUUUGGAUGGGCCCGCGUAGGAUUAGCUGGUUGGUAGGGUAAAAGCCUACCAAGGCGACGAUCCAUAGCUGGUCUGUGAGGAUGAUCAGCCACACUGGGACUGAGACACGGCCCAGACUCCUACGGGAGGCAGCAGUGGGGAAUAUUGGACAAUGGGCGAAAGCCUGAUCCAGCAAUGCCGCGUGAGUGAUGAAGGCCUUAGGGUUGUAAAGCUCUUUUACCCGGGAUGAUAAUGACAGUACCGGGAGAAUAAGCUCCGGCUAACUCCGUG
RNAcentral lists this ribosomal RNA (433 nucleotides) under uncultured bacterium. RNAcentral's name for it is "partial 16S ribosomal RNA". It matches the Rfam family "Bacterial small subunit ribosomal RNA", at positions 29 to 507 of the family's 1533-position model. The record is from RNAcentral.